UAGAUGCGAAACUCCAUUGAAAAAAGAUACGGAUGAUAUGUUAGAAGGUGAAGAAAAGGGACCAGAUAUCAUACCAACAAAUACAGAUAGUCGCUCUAACUAUGCAGGCAGCAGGACUAUUAGCAGACAUUGGAGCGAUCCAUCGACGGAGGGUAGCAUUGAAGCAAGAAAAGUUAACCACUCUACCUUCGAUAAGGGGGUUGAUCCUAUUCAAUGGUCUUGGCUAAAGAAAGGAAGAGUGAGAGGAUGAGAAAGAGGAAAUAUAAAUUCUUAACUUGUUACUAAAAUAAUUUAUUAAAAAAUUAUCAUUAUGUUACCUAUAUAUCAC
This is a long non-coding RNA of Centruroides sculpturatus (bark scorpion), 328 nucleotides long. RefSeq lists it as uncharacterized. Lineage: Eukaryota; Metazoa; Arthropoda; Arachnida; Scorpiones; Buthidae. The record is from RefSeq and is a predicted model, not a curated record. The transcript is spliced from 3 exons.